AUGAGUAGCCCAACCUGCACUAUCAUAUCCUGGAACGUUAGAGGCCUGAAUUUUCCUGCUAAACGCCACGCUGUCCAGGAAAGUUUAGCUGCUUGGAAACCAUCCAUUGUUUGUCUUCAAGAAACAAAAAUUAGUGACUGGACUGAUGCUCUAUCUAGGGAAAUUGGGGGCGCGACUCUAGACCAAGUAUGCCACCUGCCUGCCAACGGAUCUAGAGGAGGCAUCAGCAUCUUCUGGAACAGCUCUGUGGUGCAUCUUAGCAACUGUAUCGCCUCCCACUUUUCCCUAACGGCUACUAUCAAAUCCCUAACAGAGGAUAAGGAGUUCUACCUCACGUCAGUUUACGGCCCAACUGAUGACAACCUCAAAGAAGCUUUCCUUGAUGAGUUAUGCUCUGCUGCGCCUGUUCUCAGCCGCCCUGGCUUGCCCUUGGAGACUUUAACCUAA
This 447-nucleotide ribosomal RNA is filed under the name Triticum aestivum (bread wheat). Its description in RNAcentral is "partial small subunit ribosomal RNA". Lineage: Eukaryota; Viridiplantae; Streptophyta; Magnoliopsida; Poales; Poaceae. The record is from RNAcentral.